CUCCACCCCCACUCCCGCGCUUGACGUCAGGCACCCGCGCGCGCACCCCGCCCUGGCGUCUUCCAAGCUCAGCCGGCGCGCACGCGCCCAACGUCCCCGCCGACGCGCUGUGCUGCGAGCUCUACUUCCCCGACGUUCUAUGGAAAUAAGGAGGCCGCCUCAGCCAAUCCGGAGCGGCUCUCUGCCAGGAGCGAAUGAGGGAGCAGCAGCGGAAGAGGGGGCGGGGCAGACCUUGAGGCUGGCGGGGCGGCCCCGCCCUGCUGCUGUGAGAGGGGCGCGAGAACAGGAGCUAAAGCAUCAGGGAAAAAGAAAGUAAUUCCUCUCUGGAAUGAUUUGGUAGUACAGGCAGUCCUCGACUUACAUUUCGAGUUACAACAUUUUGCACUUACAACGUUUAUAAAUUGACACCCGGUUUCAACUUUCUGACUUCAGUUUCAACUUCACAACACUUGACCCAAUGCAACACCACACCAGCGAACAGGUUUGCUGUGUCACCCAUCUCCCUGGAGAACAUCUGUCUAAACUUCUUGGAUACUUUCUUUAAGAAAGCAGGCAAGACUCCAGAAAAACAUGUAGCCAAGACUCCUGAGAAGACUCCAGUCAAGAACCCUUCAAAAAGUCCAGCAAAGUCACCUCAAAGAAGCCCUUCCAAAUAAAUAUGAUUGCUACUUACAAUAUAAAUACAUUAAUAUAGCUAUAUUAAUCAUCUAUAAUUGAUUGAGUACAACAUUUUGAUUUAUUUUUGGUGAAAAUAAGGUAUCAGGCCUUGGUUUAGGAACCAAUCCCCCAUUUAUAGCAUUGUUUCCUAUGGGAAAAUCGGUUCCGAGUUACAGCGUUUUGACUUAAGACAUGGUUUUCAGGAACCAAUUGUGUCGUAAGUCCAAGGACUGCCUGUAUCCAGCAAACAAGUGCUACAGAAAUUCCCGUGAUGCCUCCCUCACCUUUCUCCUGUUAAACUACUGGUGUGUUUGUAUGACAUAUGCAUUCACUUUUAUAAAUAUUAAAAUGUUAAUUGAAUAUAUAUUAA
Molecule: long non-coding RNA, 1027 nt
Organism: Alligator mississippiensis (American alligator)
Lineage: Eukaryota; Metazoa; Chordata; Crocodylia; Alligatoridae
Exons: 2
Source: RefSeq, a predicted model, not a curated record